UACGUAGGGGGCAAGCGUUAUCCGGAUUUACUGGGUGUAAAGGGAGCGUAGACGGCCAUUCAAGCCAGAUGUGAAAGCCCGGGGCUCAACCCCGGGACUGCAUUUGGAACUACCGGGCUGGAGUGCCGGAGAGGUAGGCGGAAUUCCUAGUGUAGCGGUGAAAUGCGUAGAUAUUAGGAGGAACACCAGUGGCGAAGGCGGCCUACUGGACGGUGACUGACGCUGAGGCUCGAGAGCGUGGGGAGCAAACAGG
Molecule: ribosomal RNA, 253 nt
Filed under: uncultured bacterium
Lineage: Bacteria
Description: partial 16S ribosomal RNA
Rfam family: Bacterial small subunit ribosomal RNA
Source: RNAcentral